GCGGGACCUGCUUGGCGGCGUGCGGGACUCGGCUGGCUCAGGAUGAGAAAGGGAUCCGGAAGGGUGGAAAGGAAAGGAGGGCUAGGGAGUCAUCUUUGUCCCUUUUCCGGAGCGGAACGCCGCUUUGAGGGAAAAGCGCCUCGCCCUGAAAAUACAAACCCAGAGCCCAGGCAGCGGGUCGUCGUGGGGCCAGCACCCCUCGGGGCUCCGGUCGUGUCCUGAGGCACUCGGGACUGUCCGGACCCCUGGGCCCUUGCUUCAAGAGUUGGCAGUGAUCGGGCAUAUUUAGGGACAAUACUUGUGAUUUCCGGGGCUCAGCACCUGCUCUUGGAUCUUCUCAAGGCCUGCUAGAUUUCAGAAUCUCAAAGGUUUGGCCACUGCACUCCCAACCCCUAAGGAAAGGAUGGGAGAUGAAUUAUUAAAGGACACCGGGGCCAUUAGCAUAUCGGGCCUCACCUCUCUGGGGCCCUUGCCCUUGAGCAACUGAAUGUUUUAUUGAAGAGGAAAAAACAUGCACGAAAAAGUCCUACGUGACCUGCCAACAUAAGCCCUGAGGGCCACCAGACAGGUGCACAAGCUCCUUUUCGGGAGGUACUGGCGAUGUGGAGCACGGCAGAGGGAGCGUGAAAGGUCGCUCCGGCCCUCCAAGGCUCCACACCCAAUGUGGGGCUUGAACUCAUGACCCUGAGACCAAGAGUCACAUGCUCCGCUGACUGAGCCAGCCAGGCACCCCUUGAUGUGGUUUUGUAUCCACCCAACGUAGAUUUAGUUUUCAGAUCUCCUUCAGAGAGAAACUGUUCUGAACGUGGCUCUAGACGUCGUGUGUCGGACAGGAGACAUCUGUACAGGCAGGUGCAAAGUACUGCAAGGCCGACAACUACAAGAAACCAGGAAACAAACGACAUGUAACUGAGAGCUAAUUGCCAAGAUUCAAAAUGUAGCAGCAGAAAUAAAAAUAGAAAAGUCCAUUUGAAAAUUCAUAUGGAAUCUCAAGGGACGAGGAAUAGUUAAAGCAAUCAUGAAAAGAGAGAGCAAAGUUGGAAGGACUUGUACUUCCUGAUUUCAAAACUUACUACAAGUACAAUAAUCAGAACAGAAUGGCACUGGCAUAAAGCAGGGCACCUGGAUGGCUCAGUCAGAUAAUUUCAUUUACAAACUGUUUCCAAACUUAUAAUUAUCAAAUGAAGAAGGAAAUAAAUGGAAACAUCAUUACCUUUACACUGAGGAGGGUCACUACUCCACUUGUUAUUCCCAACACAAAUAAGUUUGCUGUCUCCAACAAGUGAAAAUUCGUCUGAUCCUUGUGAAGGAUUACAACUGUUUACCCUUGAGCUUCAUAGUUUCGAAUUUUGGUGGUUCACCACAGGCAUCUAGUAGUAAGACAACGAGAAUAUGAAAAUGAAGUAUUUAUCUCUUUCACCAGCCAAGGCUCUGGUCUGGCAGCAGAGAACUGUUUCUCCCUGAGCAGCUACUGUUUCUUUUCAGACCCUACUAAAAAAACUCAGAAGAUUUUUCUGCAGCAGCCUGGUUUCAAGGUCAAUGGAUGAACAAGCAAGGCCAUACAUUCCUUACCCAAGAUAAGGAGUCCAAGACCCAAUCCAGGUUAUACUGGCUCUCAGAGCAGACCCAUAACCCCUUCUCCUUGUCCUAAGAUAACUGCAUGAGGCCGGGGUGCUAAAUUUUGCCUCCUUCUGAUGCUAAGUAUCCACCCCAAAGGGAACGUGGGAUAUAUGCUUACGGUCACUGAAUGCACAUGCUCUACCUCUCCUCAUGAUUAGUUGUAAGUUUCCCCACUGUUUUAUCAAUAUGUGUAUAAUCCCAACCCUAUGAUUAUUAAAAAAAAAAAAAACCAAACUUGUUCUUGCCUCCCUCAGAGAGGGGGCUUUGGGGCUUGUUCUCCCAUCCCCUCCUUGGGUUGCCUCUCAAAUAAACUUUCCUCGCUGCAUAUCCGA
Long non-coding RNA from Lynx canadensis (Canada lynx), 1952 nucleotides. RefSeq lists it as uncharacterized. Lineage: Eukaryota; Metazoa; Chordata; Mammalia; Carnivora; Felidae. The transcript has 8 exons. The record is from RefSeq and is a predicted model, not a curated record.